RNAcentral lists this small nuclear RNA (25 nucleotides) under Arabidopsis thaliana (thale cress). Its description in RNAcentral is "snRNA_07531". Lineage: Eukaryota; Viridiplantae; Streptophyta; Magnoliopsida; Brassicales; Brassicaceae. The record is from RNAcentral.
AAGAGCCCAGCUUGAAAAUCGGACG